Molecule: ribosomal RNA, 557 nt
Filed under: Salmonella enterica subsp. enterica serovar Infantis
Lineage: Bacteria; Pseudomonadati; Pseudomonadota; Gammaproteobacteria; Enterobacterales; Enterobacteriaceae
Also listed under: 3 other names
Description: partial 23S ribosomal RNA
Rfam family: Bacterial large subunit ribosomal RNA
Source: RNAcentral
AGACCCGAAACCCGGUGAUCUAGCCAUGGGCAGGUUGAAGGUUGGGUAACACUAACUGGAGGACCGAACCGACUAAUGUUGAAAAAUUAGCGGAUGACCUGUGGCUGGGGGUGAAAGGCCAAUCAAACCGGGAGAUAGCUGGUUCUCCCCGAAAGCUAUUUAGGUAGCGCCUCGUGAAUUCAUCUCCGGGGGUAGAGCACUGUUUCGGCUAGGGGGCCAUCCCGGCUUACCAACCCGAUGCAAACUGCGAAUACCGGAGAAUGUUAUCACGGGAGACACACGGCGGGUGCUAACGUCCGUCGUGAAGAGGGAAACAACCCAGACCGCCAGCUAAGGUCCCAAAGUCAUGGUUAAGUGGGAAACGAUGUGGGAAGGCCCAGACAGCCAGGAUGUUGGCUUAGAAGCAGCCAUCAUUUAAAGAAAGCGUAAUAGCUCACUGGUCGAGUCGGCCUGCGCGGAAGAUGUAACGGGGCUAAACCAUGCACCGAAGCUGCGGCAGCGAACGUAUCACUUAAAGCGAUUCAGCGGGUUACGAUUGACGGAGCGAAGCGACGUCA